CAGAUGUGAAAGACCCGGGGCCGUCAACCUACCGGAAUUGCAUUGAAACUAGGCAGACUAGAGUACUGUAGAGGGGGGUAGGAAUUUCUAGGUGUAGCGGUGAAAUAGCGUAGAGAUCUGAAGGAAUACCGGUGGCGAAGGCGGCCCCCUCGGACAGAUACUGACACUCAGAUGCGAAAGCGUGGGGAGCAAACAGGAUUAGAUACCCUGGUAG
Molecule: ribosomal RNA, 214 nt
Filed under: uncultured bacterium
Lineage: Bacteria
Description: partial 16S ribosomal RNA
Rfam family: Bacterial small subunit ribosomal RNA
Source: RNAcentral